GAUGAACGCUGGCGGCGUGCCUAAUACAUGCAAGUCGAGCGAACGGACGAGAAGCUUGCUUUUCUGAUGUUAGCGGCGGACGGGUGAGUAACACGUGGAUAACCUACCUAUAAGACUGGGAUAACUUCGGGAAACCGGAGCUAAUACCGGAUAAUAUUUUGAACCGCAUGGUUCAAAAGUGAAAGACGGUCUUGCUGUCACUUAUAGAUGGAUCCGCGCUGCAUUAGCUAGUUGGUAAGGUAACGGCUUACCAAGGCAACGAUGCAUAGCCGACCUGAGAGGGUGAUCGGCCACACUGGAACUGAGACACGGUCCAGGCUCCUACGGGAGGCAGCAGUAGGGAAUCUUCCGCAAUGGGCGAAGGCCUGACGGAGCAACGCCGCGUGAGUGAUGAAGGUCUUCGGAUCGUAAAACUCUGUUAUUAGGGAAGAACAUAUGUGUAAGUAACUGUGCACAUCUUGACGGUACCUAAUCAGAAAGCCACGGCUAACUACGUG
RNAcentral lists this ribosomal RNA (497 nucleotides) under uncultured bacterium. RNAcentral describes it as "partial 16S ribosomal RNA". It matches the Rfam family "Bacterial small subunit ribosomal RNA", at positions 28 to 507 of the family's 1533-position model. The record is from RNAcentral.